RNAcentral lists this ribosomal RNA (511 nucleotides) under Bacillus sp. sec2. Its description in RNAcentral is "bacterial SSU rRNA". It matches the Rfam family "Bacterial small subunit ribosomal RNA", at positions 357 to 859 of the family's 1533-position model. Lineage: Bacteria; Bacillati; Bacillota; Bacilli; Caryophanales; Bacillaceae. The record is from RNAcentral.
GGGAAUCUUCCGCAAUGGACGAAAGUCUGACGGAGCAACGCCGCGUGAGUGAUGAAGGUUUUCGGAUCGUAAAGCUCUGUUGUUAGGGAAGAACAAGUGCGAGAGUAACUGCUCGCACCUUGACGGUACCUAACCAGAAAGCCACGGCUAACUACGUGCCAGCAGCCGCGGUAAUACGUAGGUGGCAAGCGUUGUCCGGAAUUAUUGGGCGUAAAGGGCUCGCAGGCGGUUUCUUAAGUCUGAUGUGAAAGCCCCCGGCUCAACCGGGGAGGGUCAUUGGAAACUGGGAAACUUGAGUGCAGAAGAGGAGAGUGGAAUUCCACGUGUAGCGGUGAAAUGCGUAGAGAUGUGGAGGAACACCAGUGGCGAAGGCGACUCUCUGGUCUGUAACUGACGCUGAGGAGCGAAAGCGUGGGGAGCGAACAGGAUUAGAUACCCUGGUAGUCCACGCCGUAAACGAUGAGUGCUAAGUGUUAGGGGGUUUCCGCCCCUUAGUGCUGCAGCUAACGCA